UACGACCAUAUCAAGUUGAAGCACCAAUUCCUGUACGACCACCAAAGUUAAGCAACGUCGAACCUGGCCAGUACCUAGAUGUGUGACCACAUGAGAAUCACAAGCGCUGGA
Molecule: non-coding RNA, 111 nt
Organism: Acanthosepion pharaonis
Lineage: Eukaryota; Metazoa; Mollusca; Cephalopoda; Sepiida; Sepiidae
Source: the annotation of a GenBank genome assembly